This 283-nucleotide ribosomal RNA is filed under the name uncultured bacterium. RNAcentral describes it as "partial 16S ribosomal RNA". It matches the Rfam family "Bacterial small subunit ribosomal RNA", at positions 123 to 406 of the family's 1533-position model. The record is from RNAcentral.
AACGUACCUUUGGGUGGGGGAUAACGUAGCGAAAGUUACGCUAAUACCGCAUACGAUCUACGGAUGAAAGCAGGGGAUUCGCAAGGACCUUGCGCUCAUAGAGCGGCCGAUAUCUGAUUAGCUAGUUGGUGGGGUAAAAGCCUACCAAGGCAUCGAUCAGUAGCUGGUCUGAGAGGACGACCAGCCACACUGGGACUGAGACACGGCCCAGACUCCUACGGGAGGCAGCAGUGGGGAAUUUUGGACAAUGGGGGCAACCCUGAUCCAGCAAUGCCGCGUGAGU